GAACGCUGGCGGCAUGCUUUACACAUGCAAGUCGAACGGCAGCACGGGUGCUUGCACCUGGUGGCGAGUGGCGGACGGGUGAGUAAUGCAUCGGAACGUGUCCUGAAGUGGGGGAUAACGCAUCGAAAGAUGUGCUAAUACCGCAUAUUCUCUGAGGAGGAAAGUAGGGGAUCGAAAGACCUUAUGCUUUUGGAGCGGCCGAUGUCUGAUUAGCUAGUUGGUAGGGUAAUGGCUUACCAAGGCGACGAUCAGUAGUUGGUCUGAGAGGACGACCAGCCACACUGGGACUGAGACACGGCCCAGACUCCUACGGGAGGCAGCAGUGGGGAAUUUUGGACAAUGGGCGCAAGCCUGAUCCAGCAAUGCCGCGUGAGUGAAGAAGGCCUCGGUGUAAGCUCUUCUAGUUGUAGAAGAAAAGUACGUAGACGUAAUAAUACAU
RNAcentral lists this ribosomal RNA (439 nucleotides) under uncultured bacterium. Its description in RNAcentral is "bacterial SSU rRNA". It matches the Rfam family "Bacterial small subunit ribosomal RNA", at positions 31 to 473 of the family's 1533-position model. The record is from RNAcentral.